UUCCAUCAGUCAGGGGCAGAGACACCUUGGUGGUGGUGUUCUUACAUCAGUCAGGGGCAGAGCAGAUGACAGUCCUUUGUUCAUCCUAGCUUGAUGCUUGGCUUGAUAGCCAAAGCUGUCUCAUACCUAGGACUCAUAA
Mastomys coucha (southern multimammate mouse) is the source of this 139-nucleotide small nucleolar RNA. RefSeq annotates it as small nucleolar RNA SNORA48. The transcript has a single exon. The record is from RefSeq and is a predicted model, not a curated record. NCBI's taxonomy places the organism in Eukaryota, Metazoa, Chordata, Mammalia, Rodentia, Muridae.